UGGGGAAUAUUGGACAAUGGGGGGAACCCUGAUCCAGCCAUGCCGCGUGUGUGAAGAAGGCCUUAUGGUUGUAAAGCACUUUAAGCGAGGAGGAGGGUACUGGUAUUAAUACUACCAGGUACUGGACGUUACUCGCAGAAUAAGCACCGGCUAACUCUGUGCCAGCAGCCGCGGUAAUACAGAGGGUGCGAGCGUUAAUCGGAUUUACUGGGCGUAAAGCGUGCGUAGGCGGCUAAUUGAGUCGGAUGUGAAAUCCCCGAGCUUAACUUGGGAAUUGCAUUCGAUACUGGUUAGCUAGAGUGUUGGAGAGGAUGGUAGAAUUCCAGGUGUAGCGGUGAAAUGCGUAGAGAUCUGGAGGAAUACCGAUGGCGAAGGCAGCCAUCUGGCCUAACACUGACGCUGAGGUGCGAAAGCAUGGGGAGCAAACAGG
RNAcentral lists this ribosomal RNA (430 nucleotides) under Pseudomonadota bacterium. RNAcentral's name for it is "Proteobacteria bacterium partial 16S ribosomal RNA". It matches the Rfam family "Bacterial small subunit ribosomal RNA", at positions 355 to 776 of the family's 1533-position model. The record is from RNAcentral. Lineage: Bacteria; Pseudomonadati; Pseudomonadota.